RNAcentral lists this ribosomal RNA (433 nucleotides) under uncultured bacterium. Its description in RNAcentral is "partial 16S ribosomal RNA". It matches the Rfam family "Bacterial small subunit ribosomal RNA", at positions 29 to 507 of the family's 1533-position model. The record is from RNAcentral.
AACGAACGCUGGCGGCAUGCCUAACACAUGCAAGUCGAACGAGACCUUCGGGUCUAGUGGCGCACGGGUGCGUAACGCGUGGGAAUCUGCCCUUGGGUUCGGAAUAACAGUUGGAAACGACUGCUAAUACCGGAUGAUGUCGUAAGUCCAAAGAUUUAUCGCCCAAGGAUGAGCCCGCGUAGGAUUAGCUAGUUGGUGAGGUAAAGGCUCACCAAGGCGACGAUCCUUAGCUGGUCUGAGAGGAUGAUCAGCCACACUGGGACUGAGACACGGCCCAGACUCCUACGGGAGGCAGCAGAGGGGAAUAUUGGACGAUGGGCGAAAGCCUGAUCCAGCAAUGCCGGGUGAGAGAUGAAGGCCUUAGGGUAGUGAAGCUCUUUUACCCGGGAUGAUAAUGACAGUACCGGGAGAAUAAGCUCCGGCUAACUCCGUG